CUUGGUACUCCAAUGGCAUCGAUAUAUAUGUGUGGGUCGAAACUACCUCGAAUGGGGGUUUCUCUUUUUACUCUAAGAUACGUGUGUGGUGAAUCGUGUGGGCCUUGGUGGUUAUCAGAAAUUAUAUGCAUGGGCAUGAUAACUUUGGUCAGAGUACAUUCUCCCCACCACAGGCCAGUCAUUUUUAAUCUGAGCUGCAUGUC
Molecule: non-coding RNA, 203 nt
Organism: Pelobates cultripes (western spadefoot toad)
Lineage: Eukaryota; Metazoa; Chordata; Amphibia; Anura; Pelobatidae
Source: the annotation of a GenBank genome assembly